RNAcentral lists this ribosomal RNA (253 nucleotides) under uncultured bacterium. Its description in RNAcentral is "partial 16S ribosomal RNA". It matches the Rfam family "Bacterial small subunit ribosomal RNA", at positions 524 to 776 of the family's 1533-position model. The record is from RNAcentral.
GACGAAGGAUGCAAGCGUUAUCCGGAUUCAUUGGGUUUAAAGGGUGCGUAGGCGGCCCGGUAAGUCAGUGGUGAAAUCUCCUUGCUUAACAAGGAAACUGCCAUUGAUACUGUCGGGCUUGAGUACAGUUGCUGUGGGCGGAAUAUGACAUGUAGUGGUGAAAUACAUAGAGAUGUCAUAGAACACCGAUUGCGAAGGCAGCUUACUACCCGAAUAUUGACACUGAGGCACGAAAGCGUGGGGAUCAAACAGG